RNAcentral lists this transfer RNA (62 nucleotides) under Chalinga pratti. RNAcentral describes it as "tRNA-Cys". Lineage: Eukaryota; Metazoa; Arthropoda; Insecta; Lepidoptera; Nymphalidae. The record is from RNAcentral.
AGCUUUAUAUUCAAAAAUGAUAUAAAAUUGCAAAUUUUAUGGUGUAAAUAUUACUAAGGCUU